This 492-nucleotide ribosomal RNA is filed under the name uncultured bacterium. RNAcentral's name for it is "partial 16S ribosomal RNA". It matches the Rfam family "Bacterial small subunit ribosomal RNA", at positions 29 to 507 of the family's 1533-position model. The record is from RNAcentral.
AGUGAACGCUGGCGGUAGGCCUAACACAUGCAAGUCGAACGGCAGCACAGUAAGAGCUUGCUCUUACGGGUGGCGAGUGGCGGACGGGUGAGGAAUACAUCGGAAUCUACUUUCUCGUGGGCGAUAACGUAGGGAAACUUACGCUAAUACCGCAUACGACCUACGGGUGAAAGCAGGGGAUCUUCGGACCUUGCGCGAUUGAAUGAGCCGAUGCCGGAUUAGCUAGUUGGCGGGGUAAAGGCCCACCAAGGCGACGAUCCGUAGCUGGUCUGAGAGGAUGAUCAGCCACACUGGAACUGAGACACGGUCCAGACUCCUACGGGAGGCAGCAGUGGGGAAUAUUGGACAAUGGGCGCAAGCCUGAUCCAGCCAUACCGCGUGGGUGAAGAAGGCCUUCGGGUUGUAAAGCCCUUUUGUUGGGAAAGAAAAGCAGCAGGUUAAUACCCCGCUGUUCUGACGGUACCCAAAGAAUAAGCACCGGCUAACUUCGUG